GACGAACGCUGGCGGCGUGCUUAACACAUGCAAGUCGAACGGAAAGGCCCUUCGGGGUACUCGAGUGGCGAACGGGUGAGUAACACGUGGGUGAUCUGCCCUGCACUUUGGGAUAAGCCUGGGAAACUGGGUCUAAUACCGAAUAGGACCACGCGCUUCAUGGUGUGUGGUGGAAAGCUUUUGCGGUGUGGGAUGGGCCCGCGGCCUAUCAGCUUGUUGGUGGGGUAAUGGCCUACUAAGGCGACGACGGGUAGCCGGCCUGAGAGGGUGACCGGCCACACUGGGACUGAGAUACGGCCCAGACUCCUACGGGAGGCAGCAGUGGGGAAUAUUGCACAAUGGGCGCAAGCCUGAUGCAGCGACGCCGCGUGAGGGAUGACGGCCUUCGGGUUGUAAACCUCUUUCAAUAGGGACGAAGCGCAAGUGACGGUACCUAUAGAAGAAGCACCGGCCAACUACGUG
RNAcentral lists this ribosomal RNA (462 nucleotides) under uncultured bacterium. RNAcentral describes it as "partial 16S ribosomal RNA". It matches the Rfam family "Bacterial small subunit ribosomal RNA", at positions 28 to 507 of the family's 1533-position model. The record is from RNAcentral.